CUCCAGAGCUGAGGUGGAGCACCCCCCUCUAAAAAUACCUGCACAGGUGCCAUUGUGAUGCAGUGAAAAAGAAAGAAUCCACUGGUUUUAAAGAAGUUGCUACUGUGCUGCAGGCUGGAUGAAGCAGAGGCUGGAAGGUGCCAAUCCUGGCCCUGACACGGUGCUGACGGGAAGCUGGGAGCUGUCAGAAAGACAUAUAUUUCUACAGCCUCUUUCUUAGUGCUGUUUUUCCAGAUUUGGUCUUCAGGCUAAGCUGGGACUUCACUGUGUUGUGGACCCAUCUUGCAGCUCUGCCACCUGAUGUCCAGUAGUACAAACAUCCAGGAGCUUCUGCCUGGAAACAGUGAACCUCACUUGGACUGGAGCAGCUUUUAUCCUGCUGUUGAUGUUGGCUGGAUGGAGGAGCUUGAUCUUAUGGUCAGAUGGAGGAAGAGACAGGAGACAAAACCAGAAGGGAACAUUCAGAAAAGAGCAGGAUCUCAUCUCUGGUGUGAUUCAUAGCCAGGAAGACACAGCUGGAGGCUGCAGUAUGCAACAGUCACUGCAGAAGCCCAAGCCAAGACAAACCACCUGUGACCCUUGGUUGGUCAGAGCUGAGCAGGUCUCACCCACUCUGUGAGCACACUUAAAUGAGAGCCCACCUCCCCUGCCCAUCACAGGCAGCAACGCUGGAUGCACGGGGGUAAAGUGCUUUGAGAUCCUCUGACUAGGAAAGGUCAGGAGAGCAUUGCCUUCUCUUCCAGGAGCUCCAACACCAAGGGGAAAAAUAAAUCACACAAAGCUUAAAUAGGAAACCGCA
This 799-nucleotide long non-coding RNA is filed under the name Cyanistes caeruleus (blue tit). Its description in RNAcentral is "lncRNA (ENSCCEG00000009075.1)". The record is from RNAcentral. Lineage: Eukaryota; Metazoa; Chordata; Aves; Passeriformes; Paridae.